AUUGAACGCUGGCGGCAGGCCUAACACAUGCAAGUCGAGCGAGCGGCGGACGGGUGAGUAAUGUCUGGGAAACUGCCUGAUGGAGGGGGAUAACUCCUGGAAACGGUGUCUAAUACCGCAUACCAUCAGAUGUGCCCAGAUGGGAUUAGCUGUUAGGUGGGGUAACGGCUCACCAAGGCGACGAUCCCUAGCUGGUCUGAGAGGAUGACCCGCAACACUGGAACUGAGACACGGUCCAGACUCCUACGGGAGGCAGCAGUGGGGAAUAUUGCACAAUGGGCGCAAGCCUGAUGCAGCCAUGCCGCGUGUGUGAAGAAGGCCUUCGGGUUGUAAAGCACUUUCAGCGGGGAGGCGUUACCCGCAGAAGAAGCACCGGCUAACUCCGUGCCAGCCGCCACGGUAAUAC
This 406-nucleotide ribosomal RNA is filed under the name uncultured bacterium. RNAcentral's name for it is "partial 16S ribosomal RNA". It matches the Rfam family "Bacterial small subunit ribosomal RNA", at positions 30 to 526 of the family's 1533-position model. The record is from RNAcentral.